AGAGAGAGACAUGCGCGCAUAUCAAUAAGCGGAGGAAAAGAAACUAACAAGGAUUCCCCUAGUAACGGCGAGUGAAGCGGGAAGAGCUCAAAUUUGAAAUCUUAAAGGGUUUCCCUUUACGAAUUGUAGUUUAAAGAAGUGUUUUCUGUUGAGGUUUUGGUAAAAGUUCUUUGGAAUAGGACAUCAUAGAGGGUGAGAAUCCCGUAUUUGACCUUUACUUUCAACUUUGUGAUACACUUUCAAAGAGUCGGAUUGUUUGGGAAUGCAGUCCAAAAUGGGUGGUAAAUUUCAUCUAAAGCUAAAUAUUGGCGAGAGACCGAUAGCGAACAAGUACCGUGAGGGAAAGAUGAAAAGAACUUUGAAAAGAGAGUUAAACAGUACGUGAAAUUGUCAAAAGGGAAGCGUUUGACACCAGUGUUGUUUUUCUGAAAAUCAAUUAAAGAACUGUUUAUGCUAAGCUGUUUAGACUUUAUCAGCUAUCUGUUUAGUUUUGAGCUUUUCUUUAAUCGCACUUUUCAGUUAACAAGUCAACAUCAAUUUCUUUUGCUGUAAAAAAGCUUGAGGAAGGUGGCUUGAGAUUCGUCUUAAGUGUUUAUAGCCUCUUGCCUAUGCAGUCGGAGAGAUUGAGGUCUGCAGCGUAGAUCCUUCGGGGCUAAAUGCAUUUGUGCUAAGUUAUAGCAUUUUAUAGACAACUUGUUGACUAUGAUUUGUCUUGUAGCUUACUCGCUUAUGUUAUUUUACCUACGCUUAGGAUGUUGACGCAUGAGAUAUACGC
This 775-nucleotide ribosomal RNA is filed under the name uncultured Neocallimastigales. RNAcentral's name for it is "partial large subunit ribosomal RNA". It matches the Rfam family "Eukaryotic large subunit ribosomal RNA", at positions 23 to 647 of the family's 3401-position model. The record is from RNAcentral. Lineage: Eukaryota; Fungi; Neocallimastigomycota; Neocallimastigomycetes; Neocallimastigales.